Non-coding RNA from Cygnus atratus (black swan), 892 nucleotides. The record is from the annotation of a RefSeq genome assembly. Lineage: Eukaryota; Metazoa; Chordata; Aves; Anseriformes; Anatidae.
AUGGUUCCCUGCUGGUUUCUUGUGGCCAUCCUUGUCUCUCUAGGAUGGGCCCUUCAGCAAUCACCAGACACAGUUGUCCGGGAGGGAGACUCACUGAUUCUGAACUGUUCUGAAAAAACAGAGAGUGCAUUAUUGACCUUGUACUGGUACAAGCUGCCUGUUGGGAAGGAUGCCACUCUGCAGCUGAUUGUAAAUUCAGUGGAAGGUGGCAGAGCAGAGAUUGAAAAGGAAUUCAUAAACCACUUCCAGAGUAGUGGGACUAAGAGCAGCUGCUUAUCUGUGGAGACAAAUCAUGCCCUACUUAAUGACUCAGGCACUUAUUUCUGCGCUAAGCAAGAUACACUUGGCAUUAAUUAUUUUGGAGAAGGAACAAAAGUAACAGUUCUGGAGAAGAAUGAUGUAAUCAUACCACCAGCUGUGGCCAUCUUUUCCCCAUCAAAGCAAGAGAUCCAAGAGAAGAGCAAGGCCACACUGGUAUGCCUGGCCUCUGGUUUCUACCCCGACAACCUCAAUCUAGUCUGGAAGGUGAAUGGUGCUGACAGGACAGAAGGGGUGGGGACAGAUGAGACUUCCACAUCAUAUGGGAAUACUUAUUCACUGACCAGCCGACUGAGAAUCUCAGCCCAAGAAUGGUUCAACCCUUUGAAUCGUUUUGAGUGUGUUGCCAAUUUUUUUACGAAUGAAACACAGGAAUCAAUACACAAAUUCAUCUAUGGUGAUGCUGGCUGUACUAUUUUCAAAGAAAACUAUCAAAGAAGUGCUACAGCUGGGAAGUUUUUGUACAUCAUGCUUAUUUUGAAGAGCAUUUUGUAUGGGAUAUUUGUAGCGGGGAUGAUGCUUAGGUCCAAGUAAAUAUUCUAGAUAUGCUUUGCCCUGAAGAGGAAGACGGACA